GACGAACGCUGGCGGCGUGCUUAACACAUGCAAGUCGAACGAAGAGCGAUGGAAGCUUGCUUCUAUCAAUCUUAGUGGCGAACGGGUGAGUAACGCGUAAUCAACCUGCCCUUCAGAGGGGGACAACAGUUGGAAACGACUGCUAAUACCGCAUACGAUCUAAUCUCGGCAUCGAGGAUAGAUGAAAGGUGGCCUCUACAUGUAAGCUAUCACUGAAGGAGGGGAUUGCGUCUGAUUAGCUAGUUGGAGGGGUAACGGCCCACCAAGGCGAUGAUCAGUAGCCGGUCUGAGAGGAUGAACGGCCACAUUGGGACUGAGACACGGCCCAGACUCCUACGGGAGGCAGCAGUGGGGAAUCUUCCGCAAUGGAUGAAAGUCUGACGGAGCAACGCCGCGUGAGUGAUGACGGCCUUCGGGUUGUAAAGCUCUGUUAAUCGGGACGAAAGGCCUUCUUGCGAACAGUUAGAAGGAUUGACGGUACCGGAAUAGAAAGCCACGGCUAACUACGUG
This 510-nucleotide ribosomal RNA is filed under the name uncultured bacterium. RNAcentral's name for it is "partial 16S ribosomal RNA". It matches the Rfam family "Bacterial small subunit ribosomal RNA", at positions 28 to 507 of the family's 1533-position model. The record is from RNAcentral.